This 80-nucleotide non-coding RNA is filed under the name Niallia circulans. RNAcentral's name for it is "Bacillus circulans ZTP sequence". It matches the Rfam family "ZMP/ZTP riboswitch aptamer (pfl RNA motif)". Rfam says of the family: Previously known as pfl RNA. ZMP is also known as AICAR. The record is from Rfam by way of RNAcentral. Lineage: Bacteria; Bacillati; Bacillota; Bacilli; Caryophanales; Bacillaceae.
AAGGCUAUGUGUAACUGGCGAAAUACGGAUAACCGUAGGGGAGCACAUAGUGUCGUAUGCCGUUCGCCUGGGCAGAGGUA